GGGGGAUUAGCUCAGCUGGUAGAGCGCCUGCCUUGCAAGCAGGAGGUCGGCGGUUCGAACCCGCCAUCCUCCACCA
Molecule: transfer RNA, 76 nt
Filed under: Dehalococcoidia bacterium
Lineage: Bacteria; Bacillati; Chloroflexota; Dehalococcoidia
Also listed under: 1 other name
Description: tRNA-Ala
Rfam family: tRNA
About the family: Transfer RNA (tRNA) molecules are approximately 80 nucleotides in length. Their secondary structure includes four short double-helical elements and three loops (D, anti-codon, and T loops).
Source: RNAcentral